GCAGUCUUUCUACCUCUAUGUGGCCACAUAAGAAUGACAUCUGACCUGCAACAUUUCCUUACCAAGAGAUACGGAUCCCACAUGGGCUGUGCAAUGUAUUUGUGUUUUAAGCUAAGCGAUAUUACAGAAAAGUCAAAAAGCUUUUAAAAAUUUGAACAUUUAUAAAGUAGAAAAGUUACAGCAAGCAAGGGUUAAUUUAUUAUGGAAGAAAAACUUUAAAUACAUGUAGUGUUGCUUAAGUGUACAAUGUUUAUAAAGUCUAGAGUGUUGUACUGUAAUGUCCUAGCCUUCACAUUCACUCACCUCUCAUCGACUCUCCAGAGCAACUUCCAGUCCUGCAGCCUCCAUUCUUGGAAAAACCAGGCCAUACAGAGGUAUGAGCUGAAGGGACAUGGUGAGAAGUGACCAGAAGACAAGUGUGUGAGCCUCUGUUAUGCCCGGACAGGGCCACCAGAGGGCUCCUUGGUCUAGCGGAACGUUAGCGUCUGGGAAGACGCCUGUUACCAAGCGGAUUGUGGUCUAGCAGUAGCGUCAGUGCCAAGGAAAAGCACCCACUACUUAGCAGACCAGCAAAGGGAGUCUCCCUUUCCCCGGGGGAGUUUAGAGAAGACUCUACUCCACCAUGUCUUGUGGAGGGCCUGACAUGAGUCAGGCCCGCCCGCAGUUAUCUGGAGGUCUAACCGUCUUCCUGUGAUGCUGUGCUUCAGUGGUCACACUACUGGUCCGCUUUCAUGUUCCAUCCUGUACACCUGGCCCUGCCUUCUAGAUAGCAGUAACAAAAUUAGUGAAAGUACUAAAAGUCUCUGAUAUGCAGAAAUAAUGCGUAAGCUGUCUUCUCUCUCUCUCCGCUUCAGCUGCCAAACAGGGAAGGGCCCCCUGUCCAGUGGACACGUGACCCACGUGACCUUACCUAUCAUUGGAGAUGGCUCACACUCCUUACCCUGCCCCCCUUGUCUUGUAUCCAAUAAAUAACAGUGCAGCCUGGCAUUCGGGGCCACUAUCAGUCUCUGUGUCUUGGUGGUAGUGGCUCACCCGGGCCCAGGUGUCUUUUAUCUCUUUGUCUUGUGUCUUUAUUUCUACCACCUCUAGUCUCUGCACACAGGGAGAAAAACCCACAGACCUUGUAGGGCUGGUCCCUACAGUGUUCCAACUGUAUUCAGUACAGUAACAUACUGUAUAGCUUUGUAGUUUAGGAGCAACAGGUUAUACCAUGUAGCCUAAGUGUUCAGUCAGCUAUACCAUCUAGGUUUGUGUCAGUACACUCCAUAAUGAUGAAAUUGCCCAACAAUGCAUUUCUCAGAAUGUAUCCUUUUUUUUUUUGAGACCGAGUCUCACUCUGUCGCCCAGGCUGGAGUGCAGUGGUGCAAUCUUGGCUCACUGCAACCUCUGCCUCCUGGGUUCAAGCGAUUCUCCUGCCUCAGCCUCCCGAGUAGCUGGGACUACAGGCGCGCACCACCAUGCCCGGCUAAUUUUUGCAUUUUUAGUAUAGACGGGGUUUACACCAUGUUGCCCAGGCUGGUCUCAAACCCCUCAGCCUCCCAAAGUGCUGGGAUUUCAGGCGUGAACCACCGCACCCGGCCAGAAUAUAUCCUUAUUAUUUAUUUAUUUAUUUUUUUUUAAUUGAUCAUUCUUGGGUGUUUCUUGCAGAGGGGGAUUUGGCAGGGUCAUAGGACGAUAGUGGAGGGAAUGUCAGCAGAUAAACAAG
Molecule: long non-coding RNA, 1705 nt
Filed under: Homo sapiens (human)
Lineage: Eukaryota; Metazoa; Chordata; Mammalia; Primates; Hominidae
Description: HSALNT0259177
Source: RNAcentral